GGCUUAAUGUCUUGUAAUUGGAAUGAUGGGAAUUUAAACCUCUUCCAGAGUAUCAAUUGGAGGGCAAGUCUGGUGCCAGCAGCCGCGGUAAUUCCAGCUCCAAUAGCGUAUAUUAAAAUUGUUGCAGUUAAAAAGCUCGUAGUUGAAUUUCUGCUACAUUGCCUAUUCUCCUUUACGAGUUUGGGUCUUUUGCGGCUUAUCUGGGUUCGCUUGCGUUCCCGGUGUUUUACUUUGAGAAAAUUAGAGUGCUCAAAGCAGGCUUUUGCCUUGAAUAGUUUAGCAUGGAAUAAUAAAGUAGGACUUUGGUUCUAUUUUGUUGGUUUUAGGUACCAAAGUAAUGGUUAAUAGGAACAGUUGGGGGCAUUCGUAUUUAACUGUCAGAGGUGAAAUUCUUAGA
RNAcentral lists this ribosomal RNA (397 nucleotides) under Theileria velifera. RNAcentral's name for it is "SSU rRNA". It matches the Rfam family "Eukaryotic small subunit ribosomal RNA", at positions 489 to 924 of the family's 1831-position model. The record is from RNAcentral. Lineage: Eukaryota; Apicomplexa; Aconoidasida; Piroplasmida; Theileriidae.